This 358-nucleotide ribosomal RNA is filed under the name uncultured bacterium. RNAcentral describes it as "bacterial SSU rRNA". It matches the Rfam family "Bacterial small subunit ribosomal RNA", at positions 30 to 388 of the family's 1533-position model. The record is from RNAcentral.
AUUGAACGCUGGCGGCAUGCUUUACACAUGCAAGUCGAACGGUAACAGGGAGCUUGCUCCGCUGACGAGUGGCGAACGGGUGAGUAAAGCAUCGGAACGUACCCAGUCGUGGGGGAUAACGUAGCGAAAGUUACGCUAAUACCGCAUACGUCCUGAGGGAGAAAGCGGGGGACCGAAAGGCCUCGCGCGAUUGGAGCGGCCGAUGUCGGAUUAGCUAGUUGGUAGGGUAAAGGCCUACCAAGGCGACGAUCCGUAUCGGGUCUGAGAGGAUGAUCCGCCACACUGGGACUGAGACACGGCCCAGACUCCUACGGGAGGCAGCAGUGGGGAAUUUUGGACAAUGGGCGCAAGCCUGACC